GCGGACGUGGUCUAGUGGUUAUGACUGUAGAUUCCCAAUCUGCAAACCCGGAUUCAACUUCCGGCGUCCGCA
RNAcentral lists this transfer RNA (72 nucleotides) under Methanobacteriota archaeon. Its description in RNAcentral is "Euryarchaeota archaeon tRNA-Gly". It matches the Rfam family "tRNA". From Rfam's summary of the family: Transfer RNA (tRNA) molecules are approximately 80 nucleotides in length. Their secondary structure includes four short double-helical elements and three loops (D, anti-codon, and T loops). Lineage: Archaea; Methanobacteriati; Methanobacteriota. The record is from RNAcentral. RNAcentral also lists the same sequence under 4 other names.